Cyprinus carpio carpio is the source of this 1809-nucleotide long non-coding RNA. NCBI's taxonomy places the organism in Eukaryota, Metazoa, Chordata, Actinopteri, Cypriniformes, Cyprinidae. The record is from Ensembl.
AUUGACUGCCAUUUGUAUAACGACAGUUUUACUACAAAUAGGCUACCACAUUAAACUAUGGAGUGUACCAUGGUUAAUUUAUGAUUACCAUGUGAGUACAAUAAUCAUGUUUUUUUGGUUUUAUUUGUAGCCUACCAUGGUUAAUGUCGUAAUUAAGGGAGCAAGUACUGUCAUGUUUUUUCGGGGUGUUUUAGUUAAAAAUUAAUCCUCCAGUCAUUUUAAAUCUGUAGGCUAGUUUAAAUUGAUCCGAACUGAAUGAAUCUAAACGAGUCUUUUGAACAGAAUCGCAAAAUUUGAGUGAGUUAAUGAAAUAAAAUCCACACUAUUCGCGGUAAUGCUGUAUCUCGGGGUUUGGUAAUAGAGGUAAUGAACAGUAAUAUAUCAAGCACUGACAUUCCAGGCCUCGCAUUUAGAGCUGAUUCACACGAGACUCGCAAUUCUUGAUGCCCGUGAAUCGAAUCUUUUUGGAAUCGACUCACUGUCCUUAUCCCUCCCGCCGUAGCUGUUGUUUGAAUUUGCGCUGGCGUGCUGACAGGAGAGCUUGUGUUCUGAGGGGCUACUGGCUGACAGCGUCCGGUAAUUUCUGAGAGAUUAAACUCAGAUGAAGGUAAGUGUGAAUAUAUAAAACCAUUUUGAAAAAAAAACAUGUUUACAAGAACAUAACAUUAAAAGUUGUUUGAAUUUGUAAUAUUUUUAAUCUGUAUUUUUAGCAUAACUUUGUUUGAGCUGUUUAUUCCCGCUUCAAGUGCUUUGCUGUUGCGCGCGCUGAUUUUCUGAGAGAUUUACAUCUGACGAAGGUUAGUAUAAAUACAUAAAACCUUUUAAAUAACAUGUUUAUCCGAACAUAACAUUACAAAUUCUACAAUGUUGUAUAAUUUCUUUCAAACUUUAACCCAGUGUUGUUUUGAGCCAUUUGUUCCCACUUCAGCGGCCUUCAUCAGAAAGUCUCCAAACACUGCAGCUGACUUCUGAUUCACUAUAUAUCACCGCAUUUCUCACCUCCAUUCCCAGACGACAGCAGGCCAAAUAUGCUUAUUCUCUCUAUUAUAUAUACACGUGACCUUGUGAAUUGCUGUAUAGUUCAGCUAACAAAAUAGCUGCCUGUUUUCAUUACAUUUGUGUUAUAAUGUUACGUUUCAUCAUACUAACUUGUGUUUAAACAAUGAAAACUGUAAAAUGUAUUUAGAGAUGUGUAUUAAUGUAAUGUAUUAAGUGUUUUAUUAUAUUUUUACAGGAUCCUCUGUUCCCAAACCCAACAAUUCAUCUGAAGGAUGAAGGAAAAUAUGAACCCUUUGAACCACUGGUGACAGUUUCCACAUGAUAAAUAGAAAGGACAUGGCAGAGGAUGAUGGGGUAUUGAUAUUUCACUGAAAUUAAAUAUAAUUUAAUUACAUUUAGUCUGCUAGUCAGAAUUAUAGCUGAUUAAAUAAAAAGAAAUAGUGGUUCAUGUUUGUUUUGGGAUAGUGUUUCAUGAGUCCUUUUGUCCUGAACAGUUUGAAUGGCCGCUUUUCUUCAGAAAAAUCUUCCAGAUCCUUCACUUUCUCAGGUUUUCCAGCAUCUUUUGCAUAUUUGAACCCUUUCUAGCAAUGAAUGUAUGAUUUCAGAUCCAUUUUUUUUUACACUGAGGACAGUUGAGGGACUCAUACACAACUAUUUCAAAAGGUAAACGUAUUUAUUGAUUUUCAAGAAAGUAACAAUUUAUUAAGAGAGACAGGGUGUGAACUACUUGAAUUGGAUGAUCAGGGAAAAGUUUUUUUUUUUUUGAAAAUAAGCAUAAAAAAGGUAUUUUAUAUAGCUUCUGAAGGACAG